UACCAGCACCCCGAGUGGUCGGGACGUUUAAUGGGCCUAAAGCAUCCGUAGCCGGUUCUACAAGUCUUCCGUUAAAUCCAACUGCUUAACAGGUGGGCUGCGGAAGAUACUAUAGAGCUAGGAGGCGGGAGAGGCAAGCGGUACUCGAUGGGUAGGGGUAAAAUCCGUUGAUCCAUUGAAGACCACCAGUGGCGAAGGCGGCUUGCCAGAACGCGCUCGACGGUGAGGGAUGAAAGCUGGGGGAGCAAACCGG
Molecule: ribosomal RNA, 253 nt
Filed under: uncultured bacterium
Lineage: Bacteria
Description: partial 16S ribosomal RNA
Rfam family: Archaeal small subunit ribosomal RNA
Source: RNAcentral